RNAcentral lists this ribosomal RNA (253 nucleotides) under uncultured bacterium. RNAcentral's name for it is "partial 16S ribosomal RNA". It matches the Rfam family "Bacterial small subunit ribosomal RNA", at positions 524 to 776 of the family's 1533-position model. The record is from RNAcentral.
UACGGGGGGGGCAAGCGUUGUUCGGAAUUACUGGGCGUAAAGGGCUCGUAGGCGGCCAACUAAGUCAGACGUGAAAUCCCUCGGCUUAACCGGGGAACUGCGUCUGAUACUGGAUGGCUUGAGGUUGGGAGAGGGAUGCGGAAUUCCAGGUGUAGCGGUGAAAUGCGUAGAUAUCAGGAGGAACACCUGUGGCGAAAGCGGCGCACUGGACCACAGCUGACGCUGAGGCGCGAAAGCUAGGGGAGCAAACAGG